Molecule: ribosomal RNA, 812 nt
Organism: Phytophthora infestans T30-4
Lineage: Eukaryota; Oomycota; Peronosporomycetes; Peronosporales; Peronosporaceae
Rfam family: Eukaryotic large subunit ribosomal RNA
Source: Rfam
CCCGCUGAACUUAAGCAUAUUAAUAAGCGGAGGAAAAGAAACUAACAAGGAUUCCCCUAGUAACGGCGAGUGAAGCGGGAAGAGCUCAAGCUUAAAAUCUCCGUGCAAGUUUUGCGCGGCGAAUUGUAGUCUAUAGAGGCGUGAUCAGUGUGGGCGCUUGGGGCAAGUUCCUUGGAAGAGGACAGCAUGGAGGGUGAUACUCCCGUUCAUCCCUGAGUUGCUCGUGCGUACGAUCCGUUUUCUUUGAGUCGCGUUGUUUGGGAAUGCAGCGCAAAGUAGGUGGUAAAUUCCAUCUAAAGCUAAAUAUUGGUGCGAGACCGAUAGCGAACAAGUACCGUGAGGGAAAGAUGAAAAGAACUUUGAAAAGAGAGUUAAAGAGUACCUGAAACUGCUGAAAGGGAACCGAAUCGUUUCCAGUGUCUAUAAUCCGUGGUAUAUUUCAUUGGCGAGUGUGUGCGUGCGUGUGCUGUGGCAGCGGCUUUUUUGGCUGCGCUCGGCGUGUGUGCUGUGUGUGCUUGCUGGUGCCCUGUGCUGCGGUGGGACGUCAAGGUCAGUUCGUAUGCUGCGGGAAAUGGCCGCCGAGGAGGUAGGGCUUACGCUUGCGUUUGUCUGUUAUAUCUUGGUGGACGAGUAGUCGCGGUUGGGACUGAGGUGCCUACAACGUGUUUUUGAGUGGGCCUGUGUCUCUGUGUGCGCCGUGUGCGGAUAGCUUGCUAUGCGUGUGUGGUUGUGUGUGGAUUGAUGUGGGUUUUAACUUGUUGCCGUUCGGGACGUUGACGAAAUGGAGCGAUUUGACCCGUCUUGAAACACGG